CCUACGGGUGGCAGCAGUGGGGAAUAUUGCACAAUGGGGGAAACCCUGAUGCAGCGAUGCCGCGUGGAGGAAGAAGGUUUUCGGAUUGUAAACUCCUUUUAUCAGGGACGAUAAUGACGGUAUCUGAAGAAAAAGCUCCGGCUAACUACGUGCCAGCAGCCGCGGUAAUACGUAGGGAGCGAGCGUUGCCCGGAAUCACUGGGUGUAAAGGGAGCGUAGGCGGGGCGGCAAGUCAGAUGUGAAAACCUAGAGCUCAACCUUCAGACUGCAUUUGAAACUGCUGUUCUUGAGUGAAGUAGAGGUAGGCGGAAUUCCUAGUGUAGGGGUGAAAUGCGUAGAUAUUAGGAGGAACAUUGGUGGCGAAGGCGGCUUACUGGGCUUUUACUGACGCUGAUGCUCGAAAGCGUGGGGAGCAAACAGGAUUAGAUACCCCAGUAGUC
RNAcentral lists this ribosomal RNA (440 nucleotides) under uncultured bacterium. RNAcentral describes it as "partial 16S ribosomal RNA". It matches the Rfam family "Bacterial small subunit ribosomal RNA", at positions 338 to 795 of the family's 1533-position model. The record is from RNAcentral.